GUUGGGAGCUCUCCCAUAUGGUCGACCUGCAGGCGGCCGCGAAUUCACUAGUGAUUCGUAUUACCGCGGCUGCUGGCACGAAGUUAGCCGGAGCUUAUUCUCCCGGUACUGUCAUUAUCAUCCCGGGUAAAAGUGCUUUACAACCCUAAGGCCUUCAUCACACACGCGGCAUGGCUGGAUCAGGCUUGCGCCCAUUGUCCAAUAUUCCCCACUGCUGCCUCCCGUAGGAGUCUGGGCCGUGUCUCAGUCCCAGUGUGGCUGAUCAUCCUCUCAGACCAGCUACUGAUCGUCGCCUUGGUGAGCCAUUACCUCACCAACUAGCUAAUCAGACGCGGGCCGAUCAAUCGGCGAUAAAUCUUUCCCCCGAAGGGCGUAUCCGGUAUUAGUACAAGUUUCCCUGUAUUAUUCCGAACCGAAAGGUACGUUCCCACGUGUUACUCACCCGUCUGCCACUAGCACCGAAGUGCCCGUUCGACUUGCAUGUGUUAAGCCUGCCCCCAGCGUUCGCUCUGAGCCAGGAUCAAACUCUAAUCGAAUUCCCGCGGCCGCC
Molecule: ribosomal RNA, 550 nt
Filed under: uncultured Alphaproteobacteria bacterium
Lineage: Bacteria; Pseudomonadati; Pseudomonadota; Alphaproteobacteria
Description: partial 16S ribosomal RNA
Source: RNAcentral